Molecule: transfer RNA, 73 nt
Filed under: Bacteroidales bacterium
Lineage: Bacteria; Pseudomonadati; Bacteroidota; Bacteroidia; Bacteroidales
Also listed under: 1 other name
Description: tRNA-Thr
Rfam family: tRNA
About the family: Transfer RNA (tRNA) molecules are approximately 80 nucleotides in length. Their secondary structure includes four short double-helical elements and three loops (D, anti-codon, and T loops). Further hydrogen bonds mediate the characteristic L-shaped molecular structure. tRNAs have two regions of fundamental functional importance: the anti-codon, which is responsible for specific mRNA codon recognition, and the 3' end, to which the tRNAs corresponding amino acid is attached (by aminoacyl-tRNA synthetases). tRNAs cope with the degeneracy of the genetic code in two manners: having more than one tRNA (with a specific anti-codon) for a particular amino acid; and 'wobble' base-pairing, i.e. permitting non-standard base-pairing at the 3rd anti-codon position.
Source: RNAcentral
GCCACUUUAGCUCAGCUGGUAGAGCGACGCAUUCGUAAUGCGUAGGUCGCGAGUUCAAGUCUCACAAGUGGCU